Molecule: long non-coding RNA, 5692 nt
Filed under: Salmo salar (Atlantic salmon)
Lineage: Eukaryota; Metazoa; Chordata; Actinopteri; Salmoniformes; Salmonidae
Description: lncRNA (ENSSSAG00000106800.1, ENSSSAG00000121966.1)
Source: RNAcentral
CCCUAAUCUAUGGAUUUCACAUGACUGGGAUUACAGAUAUGCAUCUGUUGGACACAGACGCCUUCUAAAAAAGGUAGGGGUGUGGAUCAGAAAACCAGUCCGUAUCUGGUGUGAGCACCAUUUGCCUCAUGCAGCCCGCCACAUCUUCACAGAGAGUUGAUCAGGCUGUUGAUCCACUCCUCUCCCAUAGGGCGGCCCACAAUUGGCCCAGUGUCGUCCGGGUUAUGGGUUGGCCGGCGUAGGCCGUCAUUGUAAAUAAGAAUUUGUUCUUAGCUGACUUGCCUAGAUAAAUAAACAAUUCAAUGGCUGUGUGAAUUUGCUGGAUAGCCCUGCUGGAAAAUCCAGCUUAGAACCGUAGCGGUGCGUGGUACAAUCACUGGCAUAACUCCCCCUCCCCUCAUGCCGUGCGACCGUGAGAUAUAGGCCUAAAGGCCAGGACAAUAAGAAGACACAGCGACAGAAUGAAUUCAACUAUACAUUUGUUUUAUUUUAUUUAAGUAGGCAAGUUAGUUCAGAACAAAAUCUUAUUUUACAAUGGCGGCUUACCCCCCCGGCCAAACCCUCCCGUAACCUAGAUGACGCUGGGCCAAUUGUGCGCCGCCGUAUGGGACUCCAGAUCACGGCCAGUUGUGAUACAGCCCGGGAUCGAACCAGGGUCUGUAGUGAUGCCUCUAGCACUGAGAUGCAGUGCCUUAGACUGCUGUGCCACUUGGAUAGCAACCUCUGUCCAGUGAAGUCCACAAAGCAUAUUGCAUGUACAGCAACAGAAAAUUACAUGACCUACAGCAUGGUCAAGCAAGUUAAUGUUUACGACAUUUUCGGACUACUAAACAACUAUUGAUUUAGAACCAUAGAGAGUUACCGCAAGUCACAAAGAAAACAGGAGCUUCCUCCACUAUUCCAGCACCAUUUCAACUUCAACAUUUCAUCCUCAUCAAAAUCACCUCGGCUUAGUCUAAUACAGUAACAACUAAAAUAUACCAAAAACAAUUUAGUCCAAUCAACAUCAGCUAAAUAUGAUGUGGGUGUCCAUGUUUCUGAUUUAUGUGUGUGUGUGUGUGCGUUCGCGCAAGUAGAAAAACAUGUUGACUCAUGAAACAGUCUAUCACUCUGUCAUACAGUACACACUUUUAUUAUUUGUUGUCCUAGGCUACCUGGUUAAAAUUAUUGCUGGCUAGCCUAACUUCCAAUCAUGGGCAAUGUUAGCUAGUUAACAUUAGCCUCCUACAUCUAAUUUCCAUCCUCUCGAGCCAGGGGCACAACAAUGUAUGAAUUAAUUGUUGGAUCAGAAUCGCCGUUAUAAUCAUUGGCCAGUAUGGAUCCCUAUCUCCAUCCAUCGUUCAUUUAGGAAAGGGCCAAUUUUAGUUAGCUGGCUAGCUAGCCAUCGGAGGACAACAACACAACAAGAUGCAACAAUUUAAGUUUUUCUGUCAAUGAUGUAUGCGCUCAAUGGGAUUUGAUCGGAACGACGCCAAAUCCAAGCUGGCUUCCCUUGACAAUUUUUUGGGGUGUGCCAGGACCAUUCACAUUUGAGCUUGCUUAGUUUAGCUCAACAAUGAUUGGCACAUUUUUUAUACUUUUUUUUAAUCAAGGGAGGCCAGAUGCUCGCUGGCUUCCCUUGCCUUCAACGCUACAGCCGGCAACAAUGUCAUACUGGUUUGGACCAGACAGCACCAGAUAGAUGGCCUACACGUAGAGACAGAGGGGCGCUGUUUCACUCGCUCAGAUCCUAUGAGAUACAUCAAAUCAAAUUGUAUUUGUCACAUGCGCCGAAUACAACAGGUGUAGGCCUUAAAGUGAAAUGCUUACUUACAAGCCCUUAACCAACAAUGCAGUUCAAGAAAGAGUUAAGAAAAUAUUUACUAAAUAAACUAAAGUAAAAAAUUAAAUCAAAAGUAACACAACAAAAUAUCAAUAACCAGGCUAUAUACAGGUUAAUGUAUACAUUAAGUCUCUUGCGAAUUAAAGGAAAAGUAUCUAUUCUAGGUAUUCUAUUGUUUACAAAAAUUAUUACAACGUCUGAUUGUUGUGGCUACUAAUCUUAGAUGUCAAAUUAGCCACUUGAUGCUUGAAUGAAUGUUGACUGCAUUGUACACACUUGGCAAACAGUCUUGGAGAGGAGGGCAGGGUUACCUGGUGUAUACUACAGGUGAGUCUUGGAGAGGAGGGCAGGGUUACCUGGUGUAUACUACAGGUGAGUCUUGGAGAGGUGGGGUAGGAUUACCUGGUAUAUACUACAGGUGAGUCUUGGAGAGGAGGGUAGGAUUACCUGGAAUAUACUACAAGUGAGUCUUGGAGAGGAGGGCAGGGUUACUUGGUAUAUACUACAAGUGAGUCUUGGAGAGGAGGGCAGGGUUACCUGGUAUAUACUACAGGUGAGUCUUGGAGAGGAGGGCAGGGUUACCUGGUAUAUACUACAGGUGUGUCUUGGAGAGGAGUGUAGGAUUACCUGGUAUAUACUACAGGUGAGUCUUGGAGAGGUGGGGUAGGAUUACCUGGUGUAUACUACAGGUGAGUCUUGGAGAGGAGGGCAGGGUUACCUGGUAUAUACUACAGGUGAGUCUUGGAGAGGAGGGUAGGAUUACCUGGUAUAUACUACAGGUGAGUCUUGGAGAGGAGGGUAGGAUUACCUGGUAUAUACUACAGGUGAGUCUUGGAGAGGAGGGUUAGGAUUACUUGGUAUAUACUACAGGUGAGUCUUGGAGGAGGGGUAGGAUUACCUGGUAUAUACUACAGGUGAGUCUUGGAGGAGGUGUAGGAUUACUUGGUAUAUACUAUAGGUGAGUCUUGGAGAGGAGGGGUAGGAUUACAUGGCAUACAGUACAGGUGAGUCUUGGAGAGGAGGGGUAGGAUUACCUGGUAUACAGUACAGGUGAGUCUUGGAGAGGAGGGGUAGGAUUACCUGGUAUACAGUACAGGUGAGUCUUGAGGAGGGGUAGGAUUACCUGGUAUAUACUACAGGUGAGUCUUGGAGAGGAGGGCAGGGUUACCUGGUAUAUACAAGUGAGUCUUGGAGAGGAGGGUAGGAUUACCUGGUAUAUACUAUAGGUGAGUCUUGGAGAGGAGGGUAGGAUUACCUGGUAUAUACUACAGGUGAGUCUUGGAGGGGUAAGAUUUACCUGGUAUAUACUACAGGUGAGUCUUGGAGAGGAGGGUAGGAUUACCUGGUAUAUACUACAGGUGAGUCUUGGAGAGGAGGGGUAAGAUUUACCUGGUAUAUACUACAGGUGAGUCUUGGAGAGGAGGGUAGGAUUACCUGGUAUAUACUACAGGUGAGUCUUGGAGAGGAGGGGUAGGAUUACCUGGUAUAUACUACAGGUGAGUCUUGGAGAGGAGGGUAGGAUUACCUGGUAUAUACUACAGGUGAGUCUUGGAGAGGAGGGUAGGAUUACCUGGUAUAUACUACAGGUGAGUCUUGGAGAGGACGGGUAGGAGUACCUGGUAUAUAUAGUACAGGUUAGUCUUGGAGAGGAGGGUAGGAUUACUUGGUAUAGUGCAGGAGACAAUGUCAUAAUUAUCCAAAUCUAGGGACAGGCCCGCUGGCCAAAAAACGGUUGAAUCAACGUUGUUUCCACAUCAUUGCAACCCCAAAAAUGUAUGUGAUGACAUUGAAUCAAUGUGGAAAACUAGUUGGAUUUGCAAAAAGUCAUCAAUGUAAGGGCAUUUAAUAUUUUUUUCACCCAACUUUUAACCUAAUUCCAAUGGCGGUAAAUAUUUUUUGUUGAUUUCACGCUAGUUGACAACUCAAUCAAAUGUAAAUCAAAACUACAUGUAAAAAUACUUACCUGGUGCACAAGUGUUCAGUUAAUGUUGGUUUGCCUGUAGAAUAAUAGGGGAGACAGUCCUUUCUUCUUGGUCCAAAAAUACUCCUGAUGAAGUCCCUGAUGAAAUGAUGUUCACUGAAGUAGUUUAAACCUAUACGGUUAUGUUUUCCAGAUCCAUAUUGCUUCUACAUCUGCAUUGCUUGAUGUUUGGGGGUUUAGGCUGGGUUUCUGUAUAGCACUUUGUGACAUAUGCUGAUGUAAAAAGGGCUUUAUAAAUACAUUUGAUUGAUUGGUUCAUAUUGGAGAGGGGGUUUUCAUCCAAAUGGUUGAAAAUAAAUUAUGCAAAUCAGAGAUUCCAAGUUUGUGAAACAAUUAUCAACUUCCAUCUGGGGUUCAGCAACCCUCAGCACCAGGACCCUGGAGGGAAAAGCCUUCCCCACAUUAAAAGCAGCUCCAAAACCUCCCCUGACUCCGAAGAAGUAUAAGGCCUUGAAAGAUAAUUAUAGCUAAUUACAACAUAUGUCUAUACUCUUUUUUUGUAUUGCAAGCUAGGCUUUAUUUAACUAGGCAAGUCAGUUAAGAACACAUUAUCAUUUACAAUGACGGCCUACCAAAAGGCAAAAGGCCUCCUGUGGGGACGGUCGCUGGCAUAAAGAAAAAUUAUAAUACAAAAACUAAAAUAUAUGUAGGUGUGGGAAAUGUGAUGACCUUGUGUCCAAGCAGGCUACACGUAGUUACUGUGUGUGUGUGGAAAACAUUUAACUUGUUUAUCUAGUGUAGUCGGUUUGUAACUUCACUCUCUACUUGUAGCUGUACAGUCGUGGCCAAAAGUUUUGAGAAUGAUUUCACAAAGUCUGCUGCCUCAGUUUGUAUGAUGGCAAUUUGCAUAUACUCCAGAAUGUUAUGAAGAGUGAUCAGAUGAAUUGCAAUUAAUUGCAAAGUCCCUCUUUGCCAUCAUGCAAAUGAACUGAAUCCCCCAAAAACAUUUCCACUGCACUUCAGCCCUGCCACAAAAGGACCAGCUGACAUCAUGUCAGUGAUUCUCUCGUUAACACAGGUGUGAGUGUUGACGAGGACAAGGCUGGAGAUCACUCUGUUAUGCUGAUUGAGUUUGAAUAACAAACUGGAAGCUUCAAAAGGAGGGUGGUGCUUGGAAUCAUUGUUCUUCCUCUGUCAACCAUGGUUACCUGCAAGGAAAGACGUGCCGUCAUCAUUGCUUUGCACAAAAAGGCCUUCACAGGCAAGGAUAUUGCUGCCAGUAAGAUUGCACUUAAAUCAACUAUUUAUCGGAUCAUCAAGAACUUCAAGGAGAGCGGUUCAAUUGUUGUGAAGACGGCUUCAGGGAGCCCAAGAAAGUCCAGCAAGCGCCAGGACCAUCUCCUAAAGUUGAUUCAGCUGCGGGAUCGGGGCACCACCAGUACAGAGCUUGCUCAGUAAUGGCAGCAGGCAGGUGUGAGUGCAUCUGCACGCACAGUGAGGCGAAGACUUUUGGAGGAUGGCCUGGUGUCAAGAAGGACAGCAAAGAAGCCACUUCUUUCCAGGAAAAACAUUCUUUACUCUCUUUUUUUCAAACUGAGUUUUUGUCCGCAUCUUGCAUGCCGCAGCUCUCACGACUUUUGCUCGAGCAUAGAAUGCACAGCCGUGAGAUUGGUUAUUAUGCCCGCGCUCAGAGGCUCCCUGUUCCGGACCAGCUCAGCCGAAUGCCCGGUCUCCAACUGAUGCCAGCCUCGAUGAUCAUGCUGAUAACUCCAUUACACUGGUAUGCCAUGAAGGUAAUUCCUUGGUUCAGGAAUGGAUAUACAGUACCAGUCAAAAGUUUGGACACACCUACUCAUUCCAGGGUUUUUCUUUAUUUUUUACUAUUUUCUACAUUGUAGAAUAGUAGUGAAGACAUCAUCACUAUGACAUAACACAUAUGGAAUCAUGUU